CAAACAAAAGUCUACCUUGAACAGUCCAAGAACAGCUGAACUCUUAAUGAGAUCUCUCAGCUGAACUCUCAAUGAGAUCUCUCAGUUAUCUAUCCCAUUUUCUGAAAAGAAAUAAUAAAAUCAAAUAGGUAUGAAUUUGAAAUGGUUUCUAAAUUUAAUGUUUUGCCAUAUUUAUUAUUUUUAUGUUUUGGAGAUGUUUUUAUGUACCCGAAAGUUUUUUGAGUAAGAUAAAGAGGUAGUUUUUUAAAUUUGCCUGCCUGCAAAGGAGCUCAACGCCUGCGACCCUUAACAAACAGCAAAAGCUGAAAAAUUGGAAAAAGAAAGUUGUCGAAGAGCUCUUCGUUACCAGAACAUCAAAAUGUCUGGACUUCAAGACUUGGAAGCUGAAAUCUUAGGGACGAAACAGCCAUUCCUCUCUCAGCCAUUUGGUUGGGUGAGUAGCAAUAGUGUAUUAUUUCCGAGCAGCUCAUCAAAAUCUUCAGUUUCACGUACAAGAUCUCGAAGGACGUUUUUUGAUGUUCGGGGAACUUGUUUUCUUUGCGGAGAACCUUUGGGUGAUGACAGAAACAUAUUCAUGUACAGAGGAGAUUCAUUCUGUCGCAAGGAAUGCCGGCUACAGCAAAUGGCUAAAGAUGAAACCAGUGACCGAAUACAGGUCAAUCCUAGUGCUACAGCUUCAGUGAAAAUGGCAAAGAUUAAAUCUAAGCUGGGCAAGAAAUUUGACACAAGAACCAUUUUUGAGGGAAUAACUGAAGUUAGGGAUCAAUAUUGGACCAAAGCAACACACCGAAGAGCAGAACUAGAGAAUAAACAGAAACCAAUAUGCAUUGCUCCAUCUGAGACAUUACUUGAAGCUAUAAUAGAAAAAGAUAUGAAAUUUGAUCGUAGCCUGAACAUAAUCAUGGAAAGCAUGGAAAAUUCAGAUAUAGGUAAGAUUGGGAUUUAUGGUAGAGCAGGGAUUGAAAAAUCAUCUUUGGCAGAAGCCCUGAGGGAUCAGCCUAUGGUAAGGAGAUUUUUUGAAAGUGUUAUUUGUGUUAAGGUUUCCAAGGUUUGGAGAAUGAUCCAGGUGCAGCAGGAGAUCUCGAGACAAUUACCUUACUGCGAGAUUGAUCGUAAUGUUCAUAUAAACUCACGGAUACCAUUCAAUUUGCUAAACCGCAAGAAGUUCUUAUUAAUUUUGGAUGAUGUUUGUGAGUUCAUAAAUGUAGAAAUGAUGGGAAUCCCUAAGCCAACCCCUGAAAAUGGUUGCAAGAUAAUUUUGACAACUAGAUUAGAGCAGAUAUGCGAUCAGAUGGCAGUGGACUGGAAGGUAAGACUAGAAGAUUUAUUGUCCUGGGAAUUGUUUUGCCAGAAUGUUGGUGAAAUUGUGGAUUCUUCUCCAAGCGUUCAACCACUAGCAAGAAGAAUAGUUGAGAUGUGUUGCCACUGUUCACAUGCCAUCAUCCUAGUGGCAAGGGCAUUAAAAGAUGCUUGUGAUAUUCGUAUCUGGAACAAUGUGCUUGAAACAUUAAGCAAGGAACCUGUAUGGGUGAUAUCUCAUCAAGACAAAUUAGAAAUUAUCAUGAUUAAUGCAUUAAAAUUCAGCUAUGAGGGUCUACCUGAUGACAUAACUAGAAAAUGCUUGAGAAAUUGUGUGCAGCUUUUUCAGAAUCAAGUUUUUGAAGUAGCAUUGUUGAUAGAUAGCUGGAUUGCAGAUGGUUUAAUAGAUAACCAUAAUAAAGGCAAUCAAAUUCUGGACACGCUGACAAGUGCCAAUCUACUGAGGAGAACUUCUGGCAGUCAAUUUGUUGAGCUGGAGGAGACGUAUCGACAUAUAUUAGUAGAUCAUAUCAUCUUACCAGAGGAGGGGAGAUUGUUUCUGAUGCAAGGAGGUAUGAGAUUGACUGAGACACCAAAGGUUGAGGAAUGGGAGAACUCGAAAGUUAUUUACUUGAUGGAUAAUGAACUAUCAGUGUUGCCAGAGAAUCCAAGAUGCCUCAUACUAGAAGCAUUGUUCCUCCAAAGAAAUUGCAAAUUAAGAAAGAUACCUCCAUCAUUUUUUCAUCAUAUGCCUGCUCUAAAAAUCCUGAACCUGUCCAGAACUCGCAUCAAGUCUUUGCCAGAAUCCCUAUUCAAGUUGGUGAGCCUUAGAAGGCUCUAUUUAAAUAAUUGUGAACUGCUUAUGGCAUUGUCUCCUAGUGUUGGAGAGCUGAAGCAUCUUGAGGUACUUGAUCUUCAAGGGACAGAGAUCAUGGAUCUGCCUAAGGAAAUUGAACGAUUAACAAAUCUGACAUGCUUGGAAGUGUCAUUCUGUGAGCCUAUGAAUCAUAGGAGAUCAAAGCAGUCAAAUCCUUUGAUUCCUUGUAGUAUGAUAUCUGCUUUAUCACAGUUAGAAGAAUUAAGCAUCGAUGUGAGUCCUGAUGAUGAAUGGUGGAAUGCAUGUGUGGAGGAUGUUGUUUCUGAAGUUUGUCGCUUACCAGUGCUAAACACACUUAAAUUCUACUUUCCUAGGGUAGAACUUCUGCGAUAUUUCAAGUGGUAUGAUGCUGUUAUGGCAGAUCCACCAUUGUCACAUUUCAGAUUUACUGUUGGUUUUAGGGUCAAGCGCAUCAUAUCUCGACUCCCUAGCGAUAUUGAGUUCGAGUUGGAACGAUAUGCUAGGUGCUUGAAGUAUGUAAAUGGGACAGCAAUCCCUGGAGAUAUCAAGCAGGCACUUAGACAUGCAACUGCAUUUUUCUUAGAUCGCCAUAUGACUAUUAGAAAAUUAUCUGAAUUUGGAUAUGGAAAUCUGAAGCAACUAAAAUGUUGUGUGGUGGGGGAAUGCAAUGAGCUUCAAGCAAUUAUAGAUGGAGAUCAAAUAGAAGCCAGACUUGGUGAUUUAGCACUGGAAUAUCUGCACAUAUACUAUAUGAAGAAUUUAAGAAGCAUAUGGGAGGGACCAUUGCAUUAUAGUGGCUUAUUUGUUCUGAAAUUCUUGACUCUGCUCGCAUGUCCACAGUUAACCACCAUUUUCACUUCGGAAUUGCUUAGAACUCUCAUAUGUCUAGAAGAGCUCACAGUUGAUGAUUGCUCCCGAGUCACUAGUUUAGUGAGCGGCAGUGAUUGUGAGAACGAGAUCAAGCUUGUUCUCCCUGCCUUGAAGAAGAUAUCUCUUCGUUUCUUAGCUGAAUUGGAUAACAUCUCUGAUGUGGUAUGCAUUUCGCCAAGAUUGGAAUGGAUGAACUUUUACCAUUGCCCAAAUCUCAAAAGUCUCCCAAUUGGCAAAGUUUUCCACGCCAAAUGGAGGCAGAUCAAGGGUGAGGAGAGCUGGUGGCAAGCAUCGGAGUGGCAAUACACAGAGCAAGAUUCUUGGAAAGGCAUUUUUACUUCAUAUGGAGAGAUUGUAGAAUUUAGCCCAUCAUCUAAGAGAUCAGAUGCAUUAUCAGAAGCAACGGCCUCAUCUCUCUUUGAAGGUGAUGUGAUGGAUGCCAUUUGGAAUUCGCCAGUGGUGGAAGUGUCACGAGGUGUGUGCCUUGAUAAUGUGGCUGUGAAGUUGCAGAAGGUGUACCGGAGUUAUCGCACACGGCGCAGGUUAGCUGACUCCGCGGUCAUGGCGGAAGAGCUCUGGUGGCAAGCCAUAGACUAUGCGAGAUUGAACCACAGUACAAUUUCAUUCUUCAAUUUCUCUAAACAACAUGCAGCUUCUAGGUGGAUUCGUACUACUUUGAAUGCUUCCAAGGUGGGCAAGGGAUUAUCCAAAGAUGCCGAAGCGCAAAAAUUGGCUUUUCAGCAUUGGAUUGAAGCUAUUGAUCCAAGGCAUCGUUAUGGGCAUAGCUUGCAUAUAUACUACAAAGAGUGGUGCAAGACAAAUUCUAGUCAACCAUUUUUUUACUGGUUGGACAUAGGAGAUGGUAAAGAGCUUGAUCUCGAAGAAUGUCCAAGGUCUAAGCUUCGGCAACAAUGUAUUAAGUAUCUAGGACCUGUAUGUGUUGCCAGUCAACUGCAAUUUAUUUAUAACUUCAAACAUAUAUAUUUUAUUAUGACAAUGCUGAAUUUGAGUUCCUAACACGCUGCCUUUUAUCUUCAUUUUACUUCUGCUUCAUUUCAACUUGAUUGCAAAUCAGCAAGAGAGAGAACAUUACGAGUAUAUAGUUGUAGAAGGCAAAAUUAUACACAAACAAACUGGGAAUCUCCUUGAUACGUCCAAUGGAUCAAAAGGAACCAAGUGGAUAUUUGUUAUGAGCACAUCUAAGAGGCUGUAUGCUGGUGAGGUAUGAGGUCAAUUGAACAGGAACACUUCUUGACGUACUUUUCUCUUUUGAUUCACUGCUUGUACUUACUCCUGAAAUAUUGAUAUAUUGUGAAUUUCUUCUAGAAAAAGAAAGGAAUUUUCCAUCAUUCAAGCUUCUUGGCUGGGGGGGUGACGUUAGCUGCUGGAAGAUUAAUGGUAGAGAAUGGAACUCUUAAGUCCAUUUCUCCAUAUAGUGGACACUACCGGCCGACAGAAGAUAGCUUUGACGGCUUUUUUUCCUUUCUCCAGGAUAAUGGUGUGAACCUUGAUGAAGUCCAGAUAAACAAGGCCAGUGAAGAUUCUGAUGUCUAUGAUGAUGGCAAAUUCACUGCAAGUAGGACAAUGGUCGAAGUGUUGAGCAGUUUGAAGCCU
RNAcentral lists this unclassified non-coding RNA (4621 nucleotides) under Hevea brasiliensis (rubber tree). Lineage: Eukaryota; Viridiplantae; Streptophyta; Magnoliopsida; Malpighiales; Euphorbiaceae. The record is from RNAcentral.